This 253-nucleotide ribosomal RNA is filed under the name uncultured bacterium. RNAcentral's name for it is "partial 16S ribosomal RNA". It matches the Rfam family "Bacterial small subunit ribosomal RNA", at positions 524 to 776 of the family's 1533-position model. The record is from RNAcentral.
GACGAACCGUGCGAACGUUGUUCGGAUUCACUGGGCUUAAAGGGCGCGUAGGCGGCUUGCCAAGUCAGGGGUGAAAUCUUUCGGCUCAACCGGAAAAGUGCUUCUGAUACUGGCAGGCUAGAGUGCGGUAGAGGGUGGUGGAAUUCCCGGUGUAGCAGUGAAAUGCGUAGAGAUCGGGAGGAACAUCUGUGGCGAAGGCGGCCACCUGGACCAGCACUGACACUGAGGCACGAAAGCGUGGGGAGCAAACAGG